GGAGAGGUGUCAGAGUGGUCGAUCGUGCAGUCCUGGAAAGACUGUCUGCGUGAUGAGCGCAGCGAGGGUUCGAAUCCCUCCCUCUCCG
RNAcentral lists this transfer RNA (88 nucleotides) under Candidatus Melainabacteria bacterium. RNAcentral's name for it is "tRNA-Ser". It matches the Rfam family "tRNA". Rfam says of the family: Transfer RNA (tRNA) molecules are approximately 80 nucleotides in length. Their secondary structure includes four short double-helical elements and three loops (D, anti-codon, and T loops). Further hydrogen bonds mediate the characteristic L-shaped molecular structure. tRNAs have two regions of fundamental functional importance: the anti-codon, which is responsible for specific mRNA codon recognition, and the 3' end, to which the tRNAs corresponding amino acid is attached (by aminoacyl-tRNA synthetases). tRNAs cope with the degeneracy of the genetic code in two manners: having more than one tRNA (with a specific anti-codon) for a particular amino acid; and 'wobble' base-pairing, i.e. permitting non-standard base-pairing at the 3rd anti-codon position. The record is from RNAcentral. RNAcentral also lists the same sequence under 1 other name. Lineage: Bacteria; Bacillati; Candidatus Melainabacteria.